GUGCGAGUCGCGGGAUACCAAGUUCUGCUACUACAACAACUACAACACCUCCCAGCCGCGCCACUUCUGCAAGGGCUGCCGGCGCUACUGGACCAAGGGCGGCACGCUCCGCAACGUACCCGUCGGCGGCGGCACCCGCAAGAAGCCCUCAUCGUCGCCGCCAUCGUCCUACGCGGCCGCCGCCAACGCCAACAAGCCCAAGAAGCCCUCCAAGAAGAAGCGCCGCGUCGUCGUCGUCGCGCCCCAGGACCCCGUCGCCGCCCCUGUCGCCGCCCCUACCCUCGUC
This 286-nucleotide long non-coding RNA is filed under the name Setaria italica (foxtail millet). Its description in RNAcentral is "long non-coding RNA (SITA_LNC004778)". The record is from RNAcentral. Lineage: Eukaryota; Viridiplantae; Streptophyta; Magnoliopsida; Poales; Poaceae.